This 253-nucleotide ribosomal RNA is filed under the name uncultured bacterium. Its description in RNAcentral is "partial 16S ribosomal RNA". It matches the Rfam family "Bacterial small subunit ribosomal RNA", at positions 524 to 776 of the family's 1533-position model. The record is from RNAcentral.
UACGGAGGGGGCUAGCGUUGUUCGGAAUUACUGGGCGUAAAGCGCACGUAGGCGGACUGUUAAGUUGGGGGUGAAAUCCUGGGGCUCAACCUCAGAAUUGCCUCCGAUACUGGCAGUCUCGAGUGCGGGAGAGGUGAGUGGAAUUCCCAGUGUAGAGGUGAAAUUCGUAGAUAUUGGGAAGAACACCAGUGGCGAAGGCGGCUCACUGGCCCGUAACUGACGCUGAUGCGCGAAAGCUAGGGGAGCAAACGGG